UUGAUAUUAUUCUAGAUCACAGAAUUGCAAUAAAAUACACUCUAAAGUUGGAAGAUGGCUAAUAUGAGUAAGUGAUUACUAGAUAGAACAAAAAAAGCCAAACCAUGUCCUAUGACUGAUGAAAUACAAGAAAUUAAAUCAACAAGACAGAAAAUGCAGAACAACUACGCAUCAGCAAAUCGACGUUUCUCACCAGUUCUUGAACUUGAGGUAAGAAGUGUCUGUGAACCUUAUUUCUGCACAACUACGAUUACACCGAUUAAAAUUACAACAAUCCUCACUUGGAGUCUUCUUCAGUGAACUAGUCGAUGACACGGAGUUCAAUUGGUCAGAAAAGAGAGCGUUAAUAACUCAUUUCCAAGGCAUGCUUGAGAUUCCUUGCAGGUUAUCGUUGGUGCAUACUGGACCCCUCUGAUUUAUGGGGCUGCCUGGUCCACCAGAUGAUUCACUAUAAGUGCCUCGUGAUGGUGGGCUAUUGGCCCCUGUCAAACCACCACCAACACCAAGAUUGGCAUUCAACGGAGCAGGUAAAACCUCAAAAUGGUUUGAUGUUUUUGGCUCUUUCCGACCAUCUGCAAUGAAGCUACCUACGAUAACCUGGACUGGUGAUGCGGCUGUUAGAACACCCGCCACACAACCGCCUAAAAUCCGUCCAUCAGAUCCAGCUAAUGAUACACUUAAUCCACCUGUUCUGCUUUGUUGACCACCAAUGUCAGACAGCAUAAAUGAACCAGAGAGAGACAAAAUCUCAAACCGUCCCUCAUAUGUUGCCGUUCCACCGGACGUGGCAGUUUGUUUAAGAGUCACAUAUGAUAUUGCACCACUGGCAGAUAAGAUGCACACAGCCCUUGGACCAUUCUGAGAAAACGACAUUAUUUUAUAUGCCACAUCCUCUCCUGGUUUCACAGCGAUAAUAUGUGGUGUGAAUCCAAAUCCUGUUGAUCCAAGAUUGUCCAUUUGCUGUUUUUUGCCGGAUCCAGGAGGUCUCCCUCUACCUUUCUUCGACGAAUUUGGCGAACCUGGUCCUCCAGAAUGCAUCUGAGCACCAGCAGAAUUACCCGGAUCUCGGGGCGACAAGCUACCGCCAAGAGAACCACCACCAACCGGCGAAGCAGCCGGAUUCAAUCCCAAUGCCAUAGACCCAUCCGGACCGUAUUUCCUAGGCCUCCCUCUCUUCCGUUUCAUCGGCUCCGACGAAUUAUUGUUCAAGUUCUGCAACAUCGAUGUCCCAGCUCCGGCAGAACCUUCAGCCGACUGGUACGGUGGCGGGGCAAACACAGCCGUAUUUUCAUCUCUGUAACCCAAAUGCAUAUUCUGAACCACCGGCGUCGUUGCCGGAACAUUCGACGGAGAAUUUUGAACUCCGGCAACACUGAAAUGAUCUCUACUCGUCAUUACUCCACUACCUGCCUCAGUUACCGACAUUUUUCAUCGAUUUUUCCCCCCAAAUUCACCGUAAAUUGG
RNAcentral lists this unclassified non-coding RNA (1464 nucleotides) under Hevea brasiliensis (rubber tree). Lineage: Eukaryota; Viridiplantae; Streptophyta; Magnoliopsida; Malpighiales; Euphorbiaceae. The record is from RNAcentral.